Lates calcarifer (barramundi perch) is the source of this 1404-nucleotide long non-coding RNA. RefSeq lists it as uncharacterized. Lineage: Eukaryota; Metazoa; Chordata; Actinopteri; Centropomidae. The record is from RefSeq and is a predicted model, not a curated record. The transcript is spliced from 2 exons.
GCCGGGGUUGUGGAGUGCAUUACUGAGAACUCAACUCAAUAUCGCCCCCCCCGUCCUCAUUGUCAGACCUCGGCUGUAGCACCACUUAGUCAGCCUCUGGGUCUCCAUCAGCAAAAGCCUACAUGCUGCUGGCUAAAUUGAAACAAAAACGUCACACGUUUACCUGUCCCCGCAUACGGAGGGUGUGUGUGUGUGUGUGGGUGUGUGUCCUGGUGGUCGGGAGGGGUGCGUGUCAGUCAGCGGUGAGCGGAAAGUAGAGGUGAGGUAACCAAAGAGUGGCUGUUCGACCCCGCUGAUCGGUACAUGGACCCCCAUUAGACCUUACACGCUCUUACGCGUUUCCUAUGACCAAACUGAGUGAUGGUAGAAAUUACAGGUUUGUGCAAAAGGAGGAGUUUUUUAGGAGCUUUUGGAGAGGGGAGGGGCUGGUUAGGAUGGGAUGGGAUGGCAAAAAAGUGCCGACUAAGCCACAAUCUUGGCUGUGGUUUGCCACCACAGUAUAAACCAAUCCCUAUCUUAAGAGUGCGACUCGCGUGCGCCAUGGGAAGACAUCUGGUUUCAGCCGCUCCAGGUACUGCCAAAAAGUCCCCUAGCCCCGGAAGAGCUUCACUCCUUUGCUCUCGGCACCGUUUGGCGCUUGUUUUCCGUCAACACCGAGCAAGCGGGCGUGGAAAAAUCCCACCACAACUAUUAAUCACUCAGGGCGGACAUGGACGGCAUCCCACUCCCACACCAGCCUUUGUCCUCUCAAACUACAACUUGAGCGAUGCAAAGCUGUCACCAGGAUCACGUGGCUCGACAUGACCGUGCUCUGGAGGCUAAUCCAACCUUGCCUUUCGCCACCACACCUCAACUUUUCCCUGACCCGGGCAAAGGCACAUAGAGUCGAGUAGGAUGUCACUUUAGGGCAGAAAUCAAGGAGGAAUUGUAAACCAAAGGGCCUCAGCUACUUUUCGCUGCACUUUUUUCCCCUAGACUCGCCCUUUUUUCCACAAAAAAGUAGAAGCUGAUUCAUUAUGUUUAAAAUCUAAUCUGUUUUUAGCGUAAAACAAAUGUUCCAGAGUUAUUUACACAAAUCAAGGCUCCUUAUCACUGUCAGCGAGGAGGAGUUGAUAGGCGCAGACCUUUCUGGAUGUUGGCCAGACGACGCUCCAUAUCUUCCCACAAUGUUGACACUCGGAGCUCUUAACAGCCAGGGGCUUGGGUUACCGAUACACUCAGCCGAAGAUAACUCUUUCUGCGAGGUUUACACCGGCCAACAUCAAGGCUAAUGCGAAAUUCAACGCCUUAAGCUGACUGGAGCCAUCUCUCAUGGACGCAGACUAGCACUGGGACGGGCGGAUUAGGGACUGGAGGGGGGAUUUGUGCUUACUUAGGUGGUUGUAAUAAAGCUUUUUGAAUUUU